CCAGACCCUUUUUGAGACCUGGAGCAGCAGUAACCCCAGGAGGAUUCCCAUGAUCAAAUUACCCUUAAACAAAUACUUGGGCAGUAAGUAAGGCUGUAACUGCUGAAGGUCAACAAGGUGUUUGUAGAACAUGUUUACCAGGUUUAUUUCACAUCACUUGCUCCCAUUCAAAGACUGUGAGUUGCAACAGUGGCAAAAUGGAACUGGAAGAACGCUGCAAACCUAAUUAAAACUCAUGACUCCAAAUGGCUACGAAUACAUUUAUUUAGGCCUUUGGUACCUCUGUAGCUAUUCAGGCAUAAUUAAACCAGCACUGUUUCCCUGAAUAUAAAUAAAUAAUAGAAAGCACACACAUUGUCUCUCCUGUGAACUGAAAUUUGGCAAUGUCUGUGACAUUUGUUUGGGGACUUGAUGACAACAUAGUAAAGCUGUCUGCAUCUCAGUGGAAAACAGGAGGUUAAGGAAGACUGAUAGACAGGCAGACAGAUACGGAUGUACAGAUAGAUCCAGACAUAUACAAAUUAUUUAGUUUGCUGCCUUUCUCCCACCCUUUUGCAGUCAGUACCCUUUUUAUGCUGGGAGAACUGCACUGCAUUGCUGCAAUCAAAUCUCGACAGCCAAAGCAACAGUGAUCUUUAAAUUCAGCCUGUGCCUCAGGGAAACCCAGGAUUCCAGUCCUCAUAAGGAAGACAUCUGUUUUGUCUAUCACCUCGGAGGAGGUCAGGAAUGGGCUGUGGAGGAUGACUGUCAUACAGUAGGUAAGGGUGAAAUUUAAUAAGUGGGUGUAUUUAAUGGUAGGAAUUUGUCUAUAGAGAGACACCCAGACUGUGAUUCCAGGAGACCUCUGCAACACUGCUGAGACCCAGCAGAGUCAUUGCAUGCAUGAGAAGAGCUGUGAGAGGGGUCUGCAGGGAGCAUAAAGGGGCUGUUGAGAAUGAAUGAAGAACCAAGGAGCCAGAGUGACAGGAGUCUUUUCAGAUGCCACUGAACCAGAGCAGAACAGGGCAGGGAAACUCCCUCAGCUGCUACUUGAAUGAGAAAUAUCUCCAUGCUGACUCCGCUCGAGUGCGCAGUGAUUUGAUGCUUUGGGGGAAGAGAAAUAACUUUCUGCUGGUCUCCGAUUCAGAGAUCACCUGAAGGGGAAGAUGUGAAGUGACCAUCCCUGGGGCACAGUUGAUGGUAUGCAGUGGGUUGAACCUUGACUCUGCCAGGACCAUCCCCCCUCUAUGCAGGAGAAGCAUUGCUGAAGUGCUGCCUGGGUUAUUAGGCUGUCUCAGCAGUGCGUUUAUGAUGGUUCCCCAAGGCGUCCAGUCUGAAGUAGCAUAGACACAUAGGCAUAGAAGGCUUCCCCCUCCCAGAAGUGAGCUACAACAGCACUUUAGCUGGAGACAGAGCAGCUCUUUAAAGGAAAAUGCUGCAGCUUCUCUUUUAAAUGUUCCACUGGGCUCUUGAGGUUUGCAGUCCUCCACAAGGCUCUGAAUGCUAAAGGAUGCAGUAAUGAGCCCUACUAAUUCACAGCACUGCCCAGCUGUACAAGCAGUGAGUGCAAAGGCUGCAAAGCAGGAUGUGGAAAUCAGCUCAUUUCAUAGUUUUCUUUACUCUCUUUCUCUGUUCUUAAGCCUUCAAAGGGGAGAGGAGAUACAUACCUUCAUAUGUACAUAAAAUGAGGCUUAUUCAGAUGAUUUCCUAAUUAGACCUACAGGAAAGCCUGAUCUCCUUCUAUAUAUACUGCUCUCAAACAAGCUGCUCCUGGUAUCAUAUUAUUAUGAAUGAACCACUCUCACUAUAGACCUUCACUGGGGUCUUGUAAUUGGAAUUUAGCAUAUUUAUAAAGCAAGGUCUAUAGAAACACCUUUCUGUACAGCAUCCUGUUACACUCAGAAGUUUAAAGACCCAUAGGAGAUAAGACUAGAGUAAGGUCUCUCGAGGCAUAGGUAGGUUUUUAAGUCCCCAGAGACCACUGUCACUUGGGUUCUUCAGAUGUGGUUGCAGAUGUGCUGCUGUUCUUGGACCCUGGCAAAAAAAAAUGACAUUAAUGCAAAAGGGUGGGAGAAAGGAAGAGAAUCUAUAAUUAAUGUUUAUGUAUCUGUAUCUUAUCAAUAAGUCUAUCUGUAUCUAUCUUCCUACCUAUCAGUGCAUUUCCUUGCAACCCUUCUCUUGACACAUAUCUGCCAUCUGCCCUUUAGCAGCACUGGAGCACUAACCUUCCUCCUUGUUCAGCCAGUCCUGAUGCACAAUGUUGGGUGAAUGCCAGUUGUGUCCUGACCUGGGCUGGGUUUUGUUUGCAUUUCUCCAUCAAGGGAGCUUUUAUAACCUCCACUUCUAAUCUCAUGCUUCAGGAGCUGGCUAUUGGGAGGGAGAUCGCGUGAGGAAAGAAACUCCCUUAUGUAUGUGCUGGGAUUUCAAAACACAGCAUGGAUGGUGCACUAGAGAACAAAGCUGACUGGAGGUCACCCAGGAGAUGCCUUUAGUGAGUUUGAGAGAGAAAAGCAUGGCGUGAUGGUGCAUAUAAUACCAGCAAACCAGUGGACCCUGAAGCAGAAGAGUGUCUUCGAGCUGGUGAUAACUCUGAAAUAUAGGAAAGACUGAGACUGAAUGGCUAAAAGGGGGAAAGGUACAGCAAAGGGCAGCUCAUGGAGGGAGAAGCAUGGGCUAAAGGUGAAGGGAAGAUGACAAUAAGGAAUAAACCAUUGUAAUGACAGAAAAUACAAUUAGGGGAUUCAGUGGAGAAUCAGAGGAAAUGUCUGAAGGGCCUUAAUACAAAGGUGAAACUGCCAAAUCCAUGAUGUUGCUGAUAAACAUGAAUAGCAAAGGGAAGGAAUGAGGCACCUCAGGGACUGAGAGAAGGACUGGAAUUGAGGAUUUUUAAGAAAGAAAAGCUGCACAGAGAUGCUAGAGAAAACCAGAAGCAUAGCCCUAAGGGAAAGGAUAAAGAAUAAAGCAGAGAGAUUGAUUUAUGGAGAGAGGAGGGCCUGGGAAAGGAGGACAGCCAAGGGGAAACACUGGCAAGAAGAAUUCAUUUGAGGGAGAGCUAAUGCCAUGGACAGGGACUGCCUGCCAGAUCUUGGCACUCUUUUCAUUUGAGUUUGUCACUUUGCUGUAAUUUCACCUCCAUCUACCCUUUCUGCACCCACCUUGCUGAGUUUCUUAAGGAUGACUCAUUAAAAGGAAAAAAAAAGUAAAAGAAAGGCAAUAGCCACCUAUUUCUUAUUUACUAUAAAAGGGCAAGCUGUGUUUUCUCUUUGGGAUAGAAAAUGCCUUUCAGACCUCAGCUGGCAUUGGAUCUGUUUGCUCUUUCUCAGGACACUUGCUCUCCCUGCUCCUGUUUUUCACAGUUGCUCCUAAGAGGAGGGCAAAGCCAAAACUGGCCAGGCUGGAGGUGAACUUUCAAACCCUCAAUAAUGGAGCAGGUUCAGAAGGAAACAAACAGAGGAUGCUCAGGCAUAAUGUAGGAAAUGGCUGGAGACAGAUGGGCAUUUGGAGCUGAAACAAGAACAGAAGACCAGGAACAGGCAGCAGGAGGAUAUUCUGCUAGUUCCAAGAAGCCACCAGUGCUCUUUGGGGGAUAAAGAGGGGUGCUAACAACAUCCCCAUGUGUGGGAUGGAGCCCAGGUAGCAGUGGCCUUUCCCUUCAUGGAGAUGUGACCUCGGCACUGUGGUGACAGUGGGUGGCAAUUAAUGAUGACAGCUUUAUAAGCAUAUCUGUAACACUGAGGCUUAGCUCCUGAACAGCUCCAAAUGGGACUUUUAAAUGCUAUUAAACCAGCUGUGCAGUAUUUUCUGUUCCAUAAGAACAGCAGUGGCAGGCUCUGUGCCAGUUUUCAUUGUGCAGAUGGAUGUACGUGUGGACUCGCAUGUGUAUGCAUAAAACCUGGAAGGGUUGCAGUGUACUUAAAGCCUUCCCUCCUUUCCCAGGCUACUUUCUGAUCUCAGGUCUGAUCAGAGGAGGAAGGGAGCUGGAAACACAAUGUCCUUGGAAAAAAGGAGCAUAUCUCCUGCUUGUCCAUAGAGAUGGGGACACUGAGGCAGAAGAAUACAGAUGUUUCACUGCUUCCCUACUCCUGGAAGAACAUUUUUUUCCUGAGCUCACACUCUCAGCACUCAUGGAUGAUAUUUUCCUCUGGAAUAAAGAGUUUCUGAUUACUCCAACUAGAGGCCAAUAGAUAAGCAGGGCCUUACGUCAGGUUGUAGUGAGAGAAACCAGUCAUAAAUGAGUGGGUAUGAAGAAAGGUUUAUCAAGAAAGCAGCUACAAGAAGCAUGAGGAUGUUAAAUUUUGACACUAGAGUACAUCACUUUGAAAUGGAAAAUAAGAGUAAAAUAUCCUCAUGUUUCACCUGGACAAAUUCAAUUUGAGAAAGGAUAUGUCUGGAGAAAUCCAAGGAAUGUGAUUUGCCUCCCGGGAGGUGUUUCACAAGCCAAGAAUCUCUGCUAUCCCAUCCACCUACCUGCAUCCCACAUUCAGUUUUGGGAGUCACCCAUCACUUUUCCAAGCUAAAACACACUCUCUUCUGGCAGAAGACUCACUCCUCCAUCUUAUCCUUGUCUUGCCUCUGCCUGUCUUGUAGCACGAGUCCCUGCAGAGCAGCCAGGCCGCCAGUAUCUCUUUCACUUUGGGUUUGCACAGCCUUUUCCUUGGGAUCCAGGGGACUUGUUUGUAUUAACGUAAUUGGCAAACACAUUGUUCAAAUAUUAGCAGUGGCAGCAAAACCAUUGUGUGGGGCUAGUCAAGGCAAGCGGUCCCUUCACUCGCAACAGUUAAAACCUGGGCGCUGCUGCCAGGCAUGUUAGGCAUUGAAUAUGAUCCAGAAAAGCUAUCCAGCUCUGAAGAUGGCUCAGUCUUAGUCAGUAUUAAUUUGACUGGGGAUAAAGCUACAUAUAAAGGCCUCUUUCUGCAACCAAAAGCAAGUGAUGAAACAUUCGGCCUCAUGUUCGGUUGCAUCCUGUGCAGGGAGUGAAUGAAGUGGUCCCGGUGCAGAAGCAGGAUUAAAGGAGUUGUGCACAAGGAGCUUUCCUAUGUCUGCACACCAGGUCCAUUGCAUCCCUCUCUGCACAAAUUCCUGCCUCAUUGUCCCAGGAAGAGGUGAAUCAGGAGGGUUGCAUAAGGCUGGAGAAAGGUUUGAAUCAGCAGCAUUAACAACCAGAGGAAAAUGUCCUGAUGGCUUUGCCACUGCCCUGUGAUUAUAUAAAAUAUGAGUAAGAAGGUUUUCCAGAUACUUUGUUAAAUAGGACUUCAUGGGAAAUGUUUAUAGCAAUAAGUCAAAUUCCACAACCCUACUGAAAUCAAUGGCAUUUUAUGCCAGGUAUGAACUGGGUCAAUAUUUUUAUGAUGAUGCCCUCAUUGAUAUACUGUUUGCCUAAAAAAAGGAAUGAAAGCUGUCAUAAAGCUCAGUUUUUAUGUUCAAACGUAUGGACAUGUGAAUAAUGCAGUUCCUAUAUGGCAAUAAAAAGGAUGGGAGGAA
Molecule: long non-coding RNA, 5460 nt
Organism: Neopsephotus bourkii (Bourke's parrot)
Lineage: Eukaryota; Metazoa; Chordata; Aves; Psittaciformes; Psittacidae
Exons: 2
Source: RefSeq, a predicted model, not a curated record